GCGAGUCGCUGUCGGUCGCUCAGCCAGAAGGUCGAGGGAACAGCGCGGGUGUCCCUCGCCAGCCGGCCCUCUGGGAACAGGGCGGGGGCGACACCCCAGAGAGUAGGGCUGAGGACGGCAGAAAUCAAUCGUUAGCACUCUACGUAUAUGAAUAUCUGCUCCAUGUAGGAGCUCAGAAAUCAGCCCAAACAUUUUUAUCAGAGAUAAGAUGGGAAAAAAACAUCACAUUGGGGGAACCACCAGGAUUCUUACAUUCUUGGUGGUGUGUAUUUUGGGAUCUCUACUGUGCAGCUCCAGAGAGACGUGAAACAUGUGAACACUCAAGUGAAGCAAAAGCCUUCCAUGAUUACAGUGCUGCAGCAGCUCCCAGUCCAGUGCUAGGAAACAUUCCCCCAGGAGAUGGCAUGCCAGUAGGUCCUGUACCACCAGGGUUCUUUCAGCCUUUUAUGUCACCUCGGUACCCUGGAGGUCCAAGGCCCCCACUGAGGAUACCUAAUCAGGCACUUGGAGGUGUCCCAGGAAGUCAGCCAUUACUCCCCAGUGGAAUGGAUCCAACUCGACAACAAGGACAUCCAAAUAUGGGUGGGCCAAUGCAGAGAAUGACUCCUCCAAGAGGAAUGGUGCCCUUAGGACCACAGAACUAUGGAGGUGCAAUGAGACCCCCACUGAAUGCUUUAGGUGGCCCUGGAAUGCCUGGAAUGAACAUGGGUCCAGGUGGUGGUAGACCUUGGCCAAACCCAACAAAUGCCAAUUCAAUACCAUACUCCUCAGCAUCUCCUGGGAAUUAUGUAGGUCCUCCAGGAGGUGGAGGGCCACCAGGAACACCCAUCAUGCCUAGUCCAGCA
Molecule: small RNA, 845 nt
Filed under: Pongo abelii (Sumatran orangutan)
Lineage: Eukaryota; Metazoa; Chordata; Mammalia; Primates; Hominidae
Description: processed transcript
Source: RNAcentral